This 387-nucleotide long non-coding RNA is filed under the name Zonotrichia albicollis (white-throated sparrow). RNAcentral's name for it is "lncRNA (ENSZALG00000002807.1)". Lineage: Eukaryota; Metazoa; Chordata; Aves; Passeriformes; Passerellidae. The record is from RNAcentral.
GGAGGAGGGCACAGGGGGUGUCUGCAGGGUCACUGCCAGUGCCACCAACGGGGAGGAGCUGCCGGAUGCCGGGAUCUCCCCCAGCCCUCCCGAGGAGCUCGGGCAGCAGGAAAAGCAGCGGGAAAAGCUGCAGGAAAAGGAGCUGGAAAAGCAACGGGAAAAGGAGCUGGAAAAGCAGCGGGAAAAGCAGGAAAAGCAGCAGGAAAAGCAGCAGGAAAAACAACGGGAAAAGCAGGAAAUGCAGCGGGAAAUGCAGCGGGAAAUGCAGGANUUUGGGAAUGGGGUGGGGGAAUUGGGAAUGGGGGAAUUGGGAAUGGGGUGGAGGAGUUUGGGAAUGGGAAUGGGAUGUGGGAGUUUGGGAAUGGGAUGGGGGAAUUGGGAAUGGGG